Molecule: ribosomal RNA, 357 nt
Filed under: Selknamia minima
Lineage: Eukaryota; Metazoa; Arthropoda; Arachnida; Araneae; Anyphaenidae
Description: partial 16S ribosomal RNA
Source: RNAcentral
UUGUGCUAAGGUAGCAUAAUCAUUUGUCUUUUAAUUAAAGACUAGAACAAAAGAUUAAACAUUUUAAUCAAUAUAUUAAAAUUAAUAAAUAAAAAUUUUUUUAAAUGUAAAAAAACAUUUAUAAAUUAGGAAGACGAUAAGACCCUAUUAAACUUAACUUCUGUUAAACUGGGGCAGUUAGUUAAUUAUUAUUUUAAUUUAAAUUUAAAUAAAAAUCAUCCUAUAAAAUAGAUUUAAUAAUCAAGUUACUAUAGGGAUAACAGCGUAAUAUUAAUUUAAAGACCUUAUUAAAAUAAAAGUUUACGACCUCGAUGUUGAAUUAAUGAUCUAUAUCGUUGCAAUAAACAAUUAUAGAAA